Pelobates cultripes (western spadefoot toad) is the source of this 381-nucleotide non-coding RNA. Lineage: Eukaryota; Metazoa; Chordata; Amphibia; Anura; Pelobatidae. The record is from the annotation of a GenBank genome assembly.
GUUCUUAAAGGCCUGAUAAGGUUGUCCCCACAUGGCCAUGACAAUGCCUUCUCACCAUUUAAAUAAAUUGCUAUAGUAUUUUCUCCAUGAGAAGAUGAUGUUUUUACAAUUAUUCUUUUUCCUCAGCUAUGUACAGUGGGAUGUGCAUCUGUUUAUUACUUGCUGUGCUCUCAACGAGCUCAAUAGGACAGCAAACUACAGGUACUGUCAAUGAAGACCCAGGGGCUCCAGAAAUAGAGCAGCAGAGUCUACUGCAGCACCCAAGGCAUAUCCGUGCAUCCUCUACUGGCCAACUAAAGACCUUUCAGCGCAUAGAUGGAAAUGGAGAUCAAAAGGCUAAUUUUGGGGCAAUGUUGGCCAAAUAUCUGCAACAAAGAAAAG